Molecule: ribosomal RNA, 253 nt
Filed under: uncultured bacterium
Lineage: Bacteria
Description: partial 16S ribosomal RNA
Rfam family: Bacterial small subunit ribosomal RNA
Source: RNAcentral
UACAGAGGUCUCAAGCGGUGUUCGGAUUCAUUGGGCGUAAAGGGGGCGUAGGCGGCGCGGUAAGUCGGGUGUGAAAUCUCGGAGCUUAACUCCGAAACUGCAUUCGAUACUGCCGUGCUUGAGGACUGGAGAGGAGACUGGAAUUUACGGUGUAGCGGUGAAAUGCGUAGAUAUCGUAAGGAAGACCAGUGGCGAAGGCGGGUCUCUGGACAGUUCCUGACGCUGAGGCACGAAGGUCAGGGGAGCAAACGGG